UAACUCCUCCGUCCUCUAAUCCAGUGAGCUACUGGAUGAAGUGUGAUUUCUUUCGAUUCGAUUGUUGGAAGACAGUGACCUAGUUGGUUCCGGUUAUCACAGCAUCAAGAGUUUGUUGCUGUCUCUGUUUGAUUCCGGCCACCACCCCCUGUCAACAGCUUGACACACCUGAGUAGGAAGGAUUCCAGCAGCAAACGAUCCUACUUCCAACAGUGAUAAAACGGCUGUGAGUUUCAGGAUCUUGACGCGAGACGAGUAUCACGGAGUCAGAUUUGG
Molecule: long non-coding RNA, 276 nt
Organism: Zingiber officinale
Lineage: Eukaryota; Viridiplantae; Streptophyta; Magnoliopsida; Zingiberales; Zingiberaceae
Exons: 4
Source: RefSeq, a predicted model, not a curated record